AAUCCCAGAGCUUAACUCUGGAACUGCCAUCAAAACUUUUCAGCUAGAGUUUGAUAGAGGAAAGCAGAAUUUCUAGUGUAGAGGUGAAAUUCGUAGAUAUUAGAAAGAAUACCAAUUGCGAAGGCAGCUUUCUGGAUCAUUACUGACACUGAGGAACGAAAGCAUGGGUAGCGAAGAGGAUUAGAUACCCUCGUAGUCCAUGCCGUAAACGAUGUGUGUUAGACGUUGGAGAUUUAUUUUCAGUGUCGCAGCGAAAGCGAUAAACACACCGCCUGGGGAGUACGACCGCAAGGUUAAAACUCAAAUGAAUUGACGGGGACCCGCACAAGUAGUGGAGCAUGUGGUUUAAUUCGAAGAUACGCGCAGAACCUUACCAACACUUGACAUGUUCGUCGCGACUUUAAGAGAUUAAAGUUUUCGGUUCGGCCGGACGAAACACAGGUGCUGCAUGGCUGUCGUCAGCUCGUGUCGUGAGAUGUUGGGUUAAGUCCCGCAACGAGCGCAACCCUCACUUUUAGUUGCCAUCAUUAAGUUGGGCACUCUGAAAGAACUGCCAGUGAUAAGCUGGAGGAAGGUGGGGAUGACGUCAAGUCCUCAUGGCCCUUACGUGUUGGGCUACACACGUGCUACAAUGGUAUCUACAACAGGAAGCGAAACGGCGACGUUAAGCAAAUCCUUAAAAGAUACCUCAGUUCGGAUUGCACUCUGCAACUCGAGUGCAUGAAGCUGGAAUUACUAGUAAUCGUGGAUCAGCGUGCCACGGUGAAUGCGUUCCCGGGUCUUGUACACACCGCCCGUCACACCAUGGGAGUUGGUUCUACCUUAAGGCAAGGUUUCAAACCCUUGACCACGGUAUAGUCAGCGACUGGGGUGAAGUCGUAACAAGGUAAC
RNAcentral lists this ribosomal RNA (891 nucleotides) under uncultured Alphaproteobacteria bacterium. RNAcentral's name for it is "bacterial SSU rRNA". It matches the Rfam family "Bacterial small subunit ribosomal RNA", at positions 598 to 1500 of the family's 1533-position model. Lineage: Bacteria; Pseudomonadati; Pseudomonadota; Alphaproteobacteria. The record is from RNAcentral.